RNAcentral lists this long non-coding RNA (807 nucleotides) under Homo sapiens (human). Its description in RNAcentral is "non-protein coding lnc-WDR11-1:7". Lineage: Eukaryota; Metazoa; Chordata; Mammalia; Primates; Hominidae. The record is from RNAcentral.
CAAUGCAGCAGAACCAAAGAGCAGCCAGCGCCCUCCAAGCCUAAUGUGCUCCUUCUCACCACGCAGCUCUUGGCCACCUCGCUUCCUGCCUCUCUCAGUUGAUUCCCUGUGACUCUAUCCCUGCAUGGAGGAGAGACAAGUGAAAAUGAAAGACAGAUGAAUGUGUCAAGUUGAGAGCUCUUUACAUGAUGAAGGUGUUUCUGCUUCAUUGCAUGAAACAGAACAUAGAGCGGUGAUAAAACCCAGCCAGAUCCUUUGGGUUGACUUCCAACCGCAGGUGGUGGUUACUCAUUAGGAAAGAGCGAACACUGUAAUGACUUCAAAACUAAGGAGUGCAAAGCCAAAUAUUCACUAAUAAUCACUCAUCAAGGAGAACAGAUGGCACACGUUGAACACUCCUGAAAAUGAAAGCCCUUGGCUGCAGGGGUGAAUGUCCAGGACCCACAGAAAAUAUCAAGUCAGAUACCUCUUGAAGCACUGAUGGGAAGGUGCAGCUGGACUCCCUGGAACUCUGAAGCUGAGAGACAGAGCACUACGGAAGGGAGCCCCAUUCCCAAGCAUGGUGUCCAAUACACUGAAAGAAUAACUGGGCUCAGUAAUGCACCUAGAGACUCAGAUUCCAGACCUGCCCACUUGCUUUACUAUCCAAAACAACCAUGACACAUGACUUCUCUGGCGGGGUGUUGGCCAAGACAAACUGAACUAUAGAAGAUCCUUGACUUGCCAACGUUCAAAUGAUGAACUUUCAAAAAUAGCGAAACUGGCUGCAGAGCAAAAGCUUUUCAGCUCUGCACAACACCAACAGAU